GACGAACGCUGGCGGCGUGCCUAAUACAUGCAAGUCGAACGAGAGCACCCGGUGCUUGCACUGGUCUCUCUAGUGGCGCACGGGUGGGUAACACGUGGGUACCCUGCUCAUCAGUGGGGGAUCACAUCCGGACACGGACGCUAAAACCACAUAAGUCUUCGAACCGCAUGGUUUGUUGAGGAAAAGCGGCGCAUGCUUCUGCUGAUGGAUGGACCCGCGGUGUAUUUGCUAGUUGGUGAGGUAACGGCUUACCAAGGUCGGGAUUCGUAGCCGAAGUGCGGGGGUGAUCGGCCACAUUGGAGCGGAGACACGGCCCUAACGCCUGCGGGAGGCAGCAGUAGGGAAUGGGACGCAAUGGACGGAAGUCUGACGGAGCAACGGCGCGUGAGUGAAGAAGGUGUUCGGAGCGUAAUGCUCUGUUGUUAGAGAAGAACAAGUGCUAGAGUAACUGUUGGGGGCGUGACGGUAACUAGCCAGAAAGCCACGGCUAACUACGUG
Molecule: ribosomal RNA, 498 nt
Filed under: uncultured bacterium
Lineage: Bacteria
Description: partial 16S ribosomal RNA
Rfam family: Bacterial small subunit ribosomal RNA
Source: RNAcentral